Molecule: ribosomal RNA, 496 nt
Filed under: uncultured bacterium
Lineage: Bacteria
Description: partial 16S ribosomal RNA
Rfam family: Bacterial small subunit ribosomal RNA
Source: RNAcentral
AUGAACGCUGGCGGCGUGCCUAAUCCCUGCAAGUCGAGCGAACGGACGAGAAGCUUGCUUCUCUGAUGUUAGCGGCGGACGGGUGAGUAACACGUGGAUAACCUACCUAUAAGACUGGGAUAACUUCGGGAAACCGGAGCUAAUACCGGAUAAUAUUUUGAACCGCAUGGUUCAAAAGUGAAAGACGGUCUUACUGUCACUUAUAGAUGGAUCCGCGCUGCAUUAGCUAGUUGGUAAGGUAACGGCUUACCAAGGCAACGAUGCAUAGCCGACCUGAGAGGGUGAUCGGCCACACUGGAACUGAGACACGGUCCAGACUCCUACGGGAGGCAGCAGUAGGGAAUCUUCCGCAAUGGGCGAAAGCCUGACGGAGCAACGCCGCGUGAGUGAUGAAGGUCUUCGGAUCGUAAAACUCUGUUAUUAGGGAAGAACAUAUGUGUAAGUAACUGUGCACAUCUUGACGGUACCUAAUCAGAAAGCCACGGCUAACUACGUG